RNAcentral lists this ribosomal RNA (370 nucleotides) under uncultured Polyporales. Its description in RNAcentral is "eukaryotic LSU rRNA". The stretch from base 315 to 370 matches the Rfam family "Eukaryotic large subunit ribosomal RNA", at positions 1 to 56 of the family's 3401-position model. Lineage: Eukaryota; Fungi; Basidiomycota; Agaricomycetes; Polyporales. The record is from RNAcentral.
CGCAGUACGAGUGAAUCAUCGAAUCUUUGAACGCAUCUUGCACUUUUCAGGCCUCCUGGAAAGUAUACUUGUUUGAGUAUCAUUAACAUCUACUCCAAGGUAACUCUUGGGAAUUGAGACGUUAAGCAGCCUUGUGCAGCUUAUGUCUUUUAAGUGAUAUGUAGAGUGUUCUACCACACAUCAUUAUUUCAAUGAUGAUGGUGUGUGUCUAGAAGCCUAACAAUCAAAUGUGAGAUAAAUAUCGCACAGAGUAGUUGCUCAGGUUAAGCUUUGCUACGCCUAGAGGUCAAGUGCCUCAACCCCUAAUUGAUCUAUGAUCUCAAAUCAAGUAAGACUACCCGCUGAACUUAAGCAUAUCAAUAAGCGGAGG